GAUGAACGCUAGCGGCAGGCUUAAUACAUGCAAGUCGAGGGGCAGCAGGACUGUAGCCAUCCAGUUGCUGGCGACCGGCAAACGGGUGCGGAACACGUACGCAACCUACCCAAAACUGGGGGAUAGCCCGGGGAAACCCGGAUUAAUACCUCGUAACUUUUUUAAGUGGCAUCACUUGAUAAGUAUAGCUCCGGCGGUUUUGGAUGGGCGUGCGCCUGAUUAGGUAGUUGGUGCGGGUAACGGCCCACCAAGCCUGCGAUCAGUAACUGGUGUGAGAGCACGACCAGUCACAAGGGCACUGAGACACGGGCCCGAAUCCUACGGGAGGCAGCAGUAAGGAAUAUUGGUCAAUGGACGCAAGUCUGAACCAGCCAUGCCGCGUGAAGGAUGAAGGUCCUCUGGAUUGUAAACUUCUUUUAUGGGGGACGAAACCCGGAUAUUCUUAUCCGAUUGACGGUACCUCAGGAAUAAGCACCGGCUAACUCCGUG
This 489-nucleotide ribosomal RNA is filed under the name uncultured bacterium. RNAcentral describes it as "partial 16S ribosomal RNA". It matches the Rfam family "Bacterial small subunit ribosomal RNA", at positions 28 to 507 of the family's 1533-position model. The record is from RNAcentral.